This 247-nucleotide ribosomal RNA is filed under the name uncultured bacterium. RNAcentral describes it as "partial 16S ribosomal RNA". It matches the Rfam family "Bacterial small subunit ribosomal RNA", at positions 523 to 769 of the family's 1533-position model. The record is from RNAcentral.
AUACGAAGGGGGCUAGCGUUGUUCGGAAUUACUGGGCGUAAAGCGCACGUAGGCGGACUAUUAAGUCAGGGGUGAAAUCCCGGGGCUCAACCCCGGAACUGCCUUUGAUACUGGUAGUCUAGAGUCCGGAAGAGGUGAGUGGAAUUCCGAGUGUAGAGGUGAAAUUCGUAGAUAUUCGGAGGAACACCAGUGGCGAAGGCGGCUCACUGGUCCGGUACUGACGCUGAGGUGCGAAAGCGUGGGGAGC